UCUCUGCUUGCGCAGGCAGUCUUCUUAGAGUCCUCACCAUUACGUGUUAGCAACUAAGAAUAGGGGUUGCGCUCGUUGCGGGACUCAACCCAACAUCUCACGACACGAGCUGACGACAGCCAUGCAGCACCUGUGCAAGCUCCCCUUGCGGGGUCGUCCCACUUUCAUGGUUCUACCACUUGCAUGUCAAGGCCAGGUAAGGUUCUUCGCGUUGCAUCGAAUUAAACCACAUGCUCCACCGCUUGUGCGGACCCUCGCCAAUUCCUUUGAGUUUCAACCUUGCGGUCGUACUUCCCAGGUGGGAUACUUAAUGCUUUCGCUCAGACACACACAGUGUAUCGCGUAUGUCGAGUAUCCAUAGUUUAGGGCGUGGACUAC
This 378-nucleotide unclassified non-coding RNA is filed under the name uncultured bacterium. RNAcentral's name for it is "contains 16S-23S intergenic spacer region". The record is from RNAcentral.